This 18-nucleotide small nuclear RNA is filed under the name Arabidopsis thaliana (thale cress). Its description in RNAcentral is "snRNA_07122". Lineage: Eukaryota; Viridiplantae; Streptophyta; Magnoliopsida; Brassicales; Brassicaceae. The record is from RNAcentral.
UUCAACCAAGCGCGGGUA